UUUAAUGAAUGUCCAAGAAAAGGUUCAUUUAUUAAGAAAUUAAACCGUAAAAAAAAAAAAAAGUAUGUUUUUCGGUUGAGAAUAAAAUUGUUAAAUCAAUUAUGUUUACAUUCAACUUUCCAUUUCCACUCCCAAGUAUAUACUGAAGAUGAUUUAAUCAUUAGUGUGUUUUUCCGUGUUUGUUUGGCGCUAAUAUUUUAAUUAAAAAUGUUAAUUUGACCUCGGGCGGCAGCCAUCAUUUGCAUACGACUAAACAAGCGUGUGUAUAAUCUGCUUCUUUCUGCUGUUUAGUUUGUGCUCUCUCAGGAAGGAUCGAGCAGCACAAUGUUGUCCAUAAGGCAUGGACAAAAAAAGAAAAGAAGCCCAAAAGGCAACAAGAGGAAGCGGAAGCUAAUGAAAAUAAGUCCUGAAGAUCAAACAAUCGCUACAUAAAAUUGUGUUUUUAUACAUCAUCGACAAAAGGAAUUGGUUGUAUUUUUUUUUUUUUACAAGACAUUUGAUUUAUGGUUAUUUUGUAAUAAUGCUGAUGAGAACAUUAGCCCCUUUUGUGAAGCUUUACAUUUAUAGGCAAUAGAAAAAAAUAAAAUAUAGCAUAAAGUCAGCCAAAACACUAUUUUGCUAACAGGAAGAGAGGAUUUAUGCUUGACAGAUUAAUCACUCCAUCAUAAAGAUGAAAGUACCGCCAUAUUUUCUCCUUUUUUUUUUCUUUCUUUUUUUUUAUAGGGAUGUACAACAUGCUGAAAGUCGGCCCUUGGGGACCUGCAGCCUGCAGACCCGAGAGGAAGUCUCUCCUCCAUUGAAAACAUGCAAUUUACUGUCCUUCAUCAUUCACAAGAGCUUUAACCCCAUCAAUGUCAAACAGCUGCAGGAUUACCAUAAGAACCACACUUUAGGGACGUGCACCCUAAAAAAGGCUUAAACGUCAAGGAUCGUAAUAAUCAUAGUAAUCAAUUAUUGUAUGCUGCCUUGUUGUAGCAACAUGUAUAUUUCAUAGUUGGUAAGAAUAAAUAAAUACAAUGCAUGAAUAUAAGUUCAUACUGUACAGAUAAUGUGAUUAAAAUAUAUUUCCUUGGGGUUAAUUCAUGCAAGUUUAUGUUAACUUUAUUUUUGUUACAAACCUAAAUUCAGAGGGGAAUAUAUUUUUUGUUCCGGUUUGGUCACGUUGUUGGGGGGGACAAUUAAAAUGUGACGGACUUAAGGAAGCAGCAUGACAAGACAAGUGUUUGCCAAUGAUUAUUUCUGCCACACCUGUGCUCCUCUUUUUGGAACCUUCUGCUUGCAUGUCGCCUGCCUUCUCUGCAUCCCAGGAUCCCACCAAAUGCCAGCAUGCGGACAUCGUCUCCUAUCAGUGUUUGUGUCCAGAACCGGCCUGCUGACUGCCAAGGGCGAACAUCGAGUGCCGUGACGCAGACAGAGCAGAGACAAGGCGAUAUCACGAGUGUCAGCACAUUUGCAUUUCAUGAAUAGUCAUAUAUUGUGUCUAACUGGGGCUGCUGAGAUUAACCCCCUUCCUUCAGCGGCAGCCUCAGUGAUGUAACCAGGGACCUCACAAAUAAAUAGAGGAGCACGUGGGCCGGACUUUAGAGCGUAGGUUGUUUCUGUAACUAGAGUACAGCCCAAAACG
Nerophis lumbriciformis (worm pipefish) is the source of this 1624-nucleotide non-coding RNA. Lineage: Eukaryota; Metazoa; Chordata; Actinopteri; Syngnathiformes; Syngnathidae. The record is from RefSeq and is a predicted model, not a curated record.